This is a long non-coding RNA of Camellia sinensis, 1178 nucleotides long. RefSeq lists it as uncharacterized. NCBI's taxonomy places the organism in Eukaryota, Viridiplantae, Streptophyta, Magnoliopsida, Ericales, Theaceae. The record is from RefSeq and is a predicted model, not a curated record.
AAUUUUUUAAGAAAACAUAUUUUAUAAUUUUUUAGUUGUUUUAUUUGUACAACCAAAUGCAUGAAUCAUUAAGGAAAAUGGCUGGCAGCUCGAAAGUGAAGGCUCGAAAUGGCCCAAAAGUGUGGGCUCACGCGCCCAUAAUACCUCUCUCUCUAUCUCUAUGUUUCUCUGCAUUCUCUGUCUUCUCAUCCCUCCUCGUUGUCGAUCUUCAAGAGCUUCACAAACUGAAAGAAGACUUGUUAGCCUCCUUCUCUGAUCUCUCCCUCUCUCUCUCUCUCUCUCUUCGAUUUUCAAAGGUUCCCUGUUUUGGUCAAGUUCUAGUGGCUUCAACUCAAACAUUAAUCAAACCUCACAAACAAACAGUGAUGUGAAAGUUGUGUUUUUGCACAAAAAUGUUUACCCAGUAUUGCCCCUGAAUGCCUUACUUUGCUCCUUCUUUCAUCAUCCACUAGUUACAUGCUGUGGAUUCUUGUCAAGAUCCCCCUGGCACCUAAUCAACUUAGCCCUCAAAACAUCCAAUCUUCUAGACAGAUCACUAAACACCUUGGUAUUGAGGAUCUUAAGUUCUACCUUCAACUUCUUAAGUUUGUGGCACACUUGAAACAUAGGAGUUCCUUGAGUGCCUUGGUUCCACACCACCUCCACCAAAGGAAUAAAUGUAUAACGCGUUGCCCAACAGUCUAAAAAUUUGAAAGGCUUCUUUGAUCUUCCCUCUUCUAACUUCAUAUGCAAGAUAGCCGAAGAGUGUGAUCUGACACCUCUUGUGCAGCAAAUUUAGCAGCCACAUAACAGAAUUUAGUGAGCCACUCCUCAUUGACAAGCAACCUAUCUAUUUUUGUGGAGAUAUACUCACCCCUCUCUUGCUUAUUUGACCAAGUGAACUAAUGGCCAAAGUACCCAACAUCUUCCAAAUCUGAUUUAAGCAAAUAUUCAUUAAACUCUUCUAUUUUAGGCGACCAAGAAUGACAAGGCUUUCGGAGAUGGACAAUAACAUUCAGGAGCAGGGUAGAAGGCUUCAAAGGAUGAAAAAGAAUUUCAAGGCGAUGAUUUAUGUGAUUGUAUUAUGUAUCAUUUUGUACUUUGUAAUGUAAAUGAUUUAAAAAUUUAGUUUUUGGGGAAUUUGAUGAAUGUAAUUAUGGAUGUAGUAGACAUGAUGUAAUUAUGGAUGUAGUAGACAU